Molecule: ribosomal RNA, 254 nt
Filed under: uncultured bacterium
Lineage: Bacteria
Description: partial 16S ribosomal RNA
Rfam family: Bacterial small subunit ribosomal RNA
Source: RNAcentral
UACGUAGGGGGCGAGCGUUGUCCGGAUUUAUUGGGCGUAAAGAGCUCGUAGGCGGUUUGGUAAGUCGGAUGUGAAAUCUCCAGGCUCAACCUGGAGGGGUCAUUCGAUACUGCCAUGACUAGAGUCCGGUAGGGGCGUGCGGAACUGUGGGUGGAGCGGUGAAAUGCGUUGAUAUCCACAGGAACUCCGGUGGCGAAGGCGGCACGCUGGACCCUCCCUGACGCUGAGGCGCGAAAGCCAGGGGAGCGAACGGG